This 449-nucleotide ribosomal RNA is filed under the name uncultured bacterium. Its description in RNAcentral is "partial 16S ribosomal RNA". It matches the Rfam family "Bacterial small subunit ribosomal RNA", at positions 338 to 795 of the family's 1533-position model. The record is from RNAcentral.
CCUACGGGCGGCUGCAGUAAGGAAUAUUGGUCAAUGGACGAAAGUCUGAACCAGCCAUGCCGCGUGGAGGAUGAAGGUCCUCUGGAUUGUAAACUUCUUUUAUAUGGGACGAAAAAAGGCUUUUCUAGGUCGUCUGACGGUACCAUAUGAAUAAGCACCGGCUAACUCCGUGCCAGCAGCCGCGGUAAUACGGAGGGUGCAAGCGUUAUCCGGAUUCACUGGGUGUAGAGGGUUCGGUGAGGCAUUGGUAAAAUCCCCGUGCUUAACUUGGGAACUGCCAUUGAUACUAUCAGUCUUGAAUACCGUGGAGGUCAGCGGAAUAUGUCAUGUAGCGGUGAAAUGCUUAGAUAUGACAUAGAACACCAAUUGCGAAGGCAGCUGGCUACCCGAAUAUUGACACUGAGGCACGAAAGCGUGGGGAUCAAACAGGAUUAGAUACCCCAGUAGUC